This 407-nucleotide ribosomal RNA is filed under the name uncultured bacterium. RNAcentral describes it as "partial 16S ribosomal RNA". It matches the Rfam family "Bacterial small subunit ribosomal RNA", at positions 28 to 526 of the family's 1533-position model. The record is from RNAcentral.
GACCAACGCUGGCGGCGUGCCUAAUACAUGCAAGUAGGACGCAGUUGCGAACGGGUGAGUAACGCGUAGGUAACUACCUAUUAGAGGGGGAUAACUAUUGGAAACGAUAGCUAAUACCGCAUACUAGUAGAUGGACCUGCGUUGUAUUAGAUAGUAGGUAGGGUAAUGGCUUACCUAGGCAACGAUAAAUAGUCGAACGGAGAGGGUGAGAGGCCACACGGGGACGGAGAAAAGGCAAAGACGCCUACGGGAGGCAGCAGUAGGGAAUCUUCGGCAAGGGGGGGAACACGGACCGAGCAACGCCGCGGGAGUGAGGAAGGUUGGCGGAUAGUAAAGCUCGGUUGGUAAGGAAGCGGUACUUAACCAGAAAGGGACGGCUAACUACGGGCCAGCAGCCGCGGUAAUAC